RNAcentral lists this ribosomal RNA (468 nucleotides) under uncultured bacterium. Its description in RNAcentral is "partial 16S ribosomal RNA". It matches the Rfam family "Bacterial small subunit ribosomal RNA", at positions 28 to 507 of the family's 1533-position model. The record is from RNAcentral.
GACGAACGCUGGCGGCGUGCUUAACACAUGCAAGUCGAACGGAAAGGCCCUGCUUUUGUGGGGUGCUCGAGUGGCGAACGGGUGAGUAACACGUGAGUAACCUGCCCUUGACUUUGGGAUAACUUCAGGAAACUGGGGCUAAUACCGGAUAGGAGCUCCUGCUGCAUGGUGGGGGUUGGAAAGUUUCGGCGGUUGGGGAUGGACUCGCGGCUUAUCAGCUUGUUGGUUGGGUAGUGGCUUACCAAGGCUUUGACGGGUAGCCGGCCUGAGAGGGUGACCGGCCACAUUGGGACUGAGAUACGGCCCAGACUCCUACGGGAGGCAGCAGUGGGGAAUAUUGCACAAUGGGCGGAAGCCUGCUGCAGCAACGCCGCGUGCGGGAUGAAGGCCUUCGGGUUGUAAACCGCUUUCGCCUGUGACGAAGCGUGAGUGACGGUAAUGGGUAAAGAAGCACCGGCUAACUACGUG